CACGUGAAAUUCCGUCGGAAUCUGGGAGGACCAUCUCCUAAGGCUAAAUACUCUCUAGUGACCGAUAGUGAACCAGUACCGUGAGGGAAAGGUGAAAAGCACCCCGGAAGGGGAGUGAAAUAGAACCUGAAACCGUGUGCUUACAAGUAGUCAGAGCCCGUUAAUGGGUGAUGGCGUGCCUUUUGUAGAAUGAACCGGCGAGUUACGAUUUGAUGCAAGGUUAAGCAGUAAAUGUGGAGCCGUAGCGAAAGCGAGUCUGAAUAGGGCGUUUAGUAUUUGGUCGUAGACCCGAAACCAGGUGAUCUACCCUUGGUCAGGUUGAAGUUCAGGUAACACUGAAUGGAGGACCGAACCGACUUACGUUGAAAAGUGAGCGGAUGAACUGAGGGUAGCGGAGAAAUUCCAAUCGAACCUGGAGAUAGCUGGUUCUCUCCGAAAUAGCUUUAGGGCUAGCCUCAAGUGAUGAUUAUUGGAGGUAGAGCACUGUUUGGACGAGGGGCCCCUCUCGGGUUACCGAAUUCAGACAAACUCCGAAUGCCAAUUAAUUUAACUUGGGAGUCAGAACAUGGGUGAUAAGGUCCGUGUUCGAAAGGGAAACAGCCCAGACCACCAGCUAAGGUCCCAAAAUAUAUGUUAAGUGGAAAAGGAUGUGGCGUUGCCCAGACAACUAGGAUGUUGGCUUAGAAGCAGCCAUCAUUUAAAGAGUGCGUAAUAGCUCACUAGUCGAGUGACACUGCGCCGAAAAUGUACCGGGGCUAAACAUAUUACCGAAGCUGUGGAUUGUCCUUUGGACAAUGGUAGGAGAGCGUUCUAAGGGCGUUGAAGCAUGAUCGUAAGGACAUGUGGAGCGCUUAGAAGUGAGAAUGCCGGUGUGAGUAGCGAAAGACGGGUGAGAAUCCCGUCCACCGAUUGACUAAGGUUUCCAGAGGAAGGCUCGUCCGCUCUGGGUUAGUCGGGUCCUAAGCUGAGGCCGACAGGCGUAGGCGAUGGAUAACAGGUUGAUAUUCCUGUACCACCUAUA
RNAcentral lists this ribosomal RNA (1021 nucleotides) under Staphylococcus aureus. Its description in RNAcentral is "partial 23S ribosomal RNA". It matches the Rfam family "Bacterial large subunit ribosomal RNA", at positions 423 to 1452 of the family's 2925-position model. Lineage: Bacteria; Bacillati; Bacillota; Bacilli; Caryophanales; Staphylococcaceae. The record is from RNAcentral.